Notothenia coriiceps (black rockcod) is the source of this 3649-nucleotide long non-coding RNA. RefSeq lists it as uncharacterized. The record is from RefSeq and is a predicted model, not a curated record. Lineage: Eukaryota; Metazoa; Chordata; Actinopteri; Perciformes; Nototheniidae. The transcript is spliced from 3 exons.
UAAUGUGUGUGUGUGUGUGUGUGCAGGUCAGCAGAGCCAGCCCCAGAUGACGGACUACAGUAAGGCCUGGGAGGAUUACUACAAGAAACAGAGUCAGUCGUCUCAGCAGAGUUCGGUGCCGGACUACACCGCAGCGUUAGCAGAAUAUUACAGAACGCAGCCCUACCUGUGGAACGCCGCCCAGAUACAGGAUCACUAGAGGCUCCUCCCUCACCGGCGAAGGCCUCCGAUUGGUCGUCAACUGCAAACCGAAUCGGGGUUUCCUAGCAUCGCUCUGCCGCUUCCUCCUCCUUCCUUUUGUAGAGAAAACUAAGGAUUAACUGAAAAAUCACGAACUCUCUUCUUUUCUGUUUUUUAACUUUACAAAGUCGAAAUAUUUUGUCAGGCAGAUUUUUUGGGACUAGCCUCCGGUCUUUCGCUCUCCACGGUGUAGGCCUGGUUUUUCUUUUUGUUUUAUUUUUUAUCAAACUUGAACUUAAAGAUGUAUCAGUGUGGCUUCGAACAAAAAAAUCCAGUAUAAUCUAUAUUUUGUCUAGUUUUAUUUUCCACUAAGACAACGGUAUGAGGCUUAGCAGUCUUGAGUAAGACAUUUUUGUUUAUGAUAAUGUUUUUAAGCAUGCGUCAGAUUGUGUGUGUGUUGACUCUCAGUUAUUUUUUUUUAUUUUGGCAUAGAAAUAUUUUAAUAGCGUCGGAUGGAAAUCUAAUGUUUUACCGUCAGUUAUUUUUUGUACUAAAUUUGUGCUCGCUGGGUCUGUUCUCUAAUUUUACCUGUUUAGUCACCAUCUUGGAGGUGCAAUGACGCGUUUAUUGUUUUGGUUUGAUGAUAGUUCUUAUUCCUGUAUCUCUAUAGUGAUUCUUUAGUUUUUAUGAUGUGAUGAUGAAUAAAUGACGAUCUAUAUUGCGUGUUGUCUAAAGCCAGAUCUCUCUGUGGUCAAGCAGUUUGUGUCCUGAUCUCCCGCCGACACCACGUGCCCUCAUUUAAACAUGGGGAGAAUUACUAUUUUCUUACAAAGUGAAACUUUAUUAUUGUUGUUGUAACUUGGCUCCGUAUUUCUACUUUGUCGAUUUGUUUGUAGACGAAGUGUCAGGAGCUGAACAAUGAAGUUAUCGAUUCUAUUAGAUUGUGCGUUAGCUAAACGGGCGAGCUAGCUUGUUAGCAACGAGAUGUGCUUUACCUCAACUGUAUGUUAGCUGAGUGCAUGUGGUGGAUUAGCUGUUUCUGUUUUUCUUGUAAAUUAGAUUGUACUGAAUGUGUGCGUUAACAUUUUUCGUUGGAAGAAAGCGGAGACUAAAAUCCUUCUUUUUGUUCAUGUGUUCGUUUCGGCUAACCCACGACACAUCUCAAAUACCAGAGUUAUUAGUACAUAACGCUCUUGUCACUCAGGAAAUAUUUUAAAUUUCAUCUAGAACUAGCAAAGACUCCAAAGAACCUUCAUCAGAAUUACGUAAAACCCCAAAUACACUCAUAACAUCCAUUCAUCCACUUAAAAAGAAGCUAGUUGUAGCCGCUAACAAACUGCCAUAACAAUGAAAAACUAUUACGAUGUACUCAUUUAGGCCAAUUUAUAUAAUACCAAUCGAUAGCUAGCUAACGAAGCAACAUUUGUGAAUAUUUCUCAGCUUUUCCAAACUUUAAUUUGUUAGUGCGCUGGCAAUAUAACAAUUGCAAAUGUAUUCCCAUGAGCUAACUGGGCAUAGAUGUGUGUUAGCUAUACUGUGUGUUGUGACUGCUAGGUGGCUGUCUGUUAGCUCCAAAAAACCUUUGCUGGCAUUUACUUCCUAAAAAAAAAAAAAAAAAAGCCCCACUUUGCUACGUAAAAAGAAGCUAAUACAACUUGCCAACAAAAUGCCGAAUGAAUUUGAAACAAUUAAAAUCAAUUAUAUCUGCUUUAUAUCCACUUGUCUACGUCAGUUACCUGGCUAGCUAAGGGGGCAACAUCUUUGAAUAAUGUCUCAGCGUUUCAAGAUCUCCCUAAAUUAGCCGAAUGUUUGAUAGCUAGUAAUUUAGCAUAGGCAGCUAGUAAGCUAGCAUAUGACGCUAGCAAAACCGUGUGUGUUGUGACUGCUAGGUAGCUGUCUGUUAGCUCUAAAGAACCUUUGCCGGCAUUUACUUCCUAAAAAUCCCCAAUAGAUUCCACGUUGCUAAGAAGCUAAUCCAACCUGCUACCUAAAAAGAAGCUAAUCCAACCUGCCAACAAACUGCCGGAACAAUGUGAAACAAUUAUAUCCAUUUAUAUACGUUAGUGACCGGGCUAGCUAAGGGAGCAACAUCUUUGAAUAAUGUGUCAGCGUUCCAAAAUCACCCUGAAUUAGCCGAAUGUUUGUUAGCUCGUUUUUUUUAGCAUUUUAAGCUAGUUAGCUAGCAUAAUAUGCUAGCUGGACUUCAUUAGCAAAACUGUGUGUGUUGUAGUUUAAUGGUGCUGUAUGUUUGUUAGCUUAACUGUGUGUGAACGUUGUUAGCCAAAGGGGGGGGGGUGUGUGUGAGCUGUUUGUUGUGUGUCCUUAAGGCUGGGUUAUGUCUCUCAAACGUUAUUUCGGAUAUUUUUAAACACAUGUACAAACGCAAAGUAUUUUUUUGUUCAGAGUUUCAGGUUUAACCCAUAACGCCUCCUUCAGCAUACCUUUGUAGAGGGGUGAUUCCAGCCUUUAGCCUUGUGUGUGUUAGCAGUGUGUGUGUUAGCAGUGUGUGUGUUAGCAUUGUGUAUUUGUGUGUCGGACCACAGAGAGGUUUGUCAUGCGUUGAGGGAGAUCUGGCGUCUGUUGAGUUGAAUUUUGAAUCAGUGGUUCUGCUUCUUGUAUGUGUGACGAUGACGAUAAUAAUAAUAAUGACAACGAUAAUAAUGCGUUCUCCUGUGCAGGGGGUCUAUUUAAAUCUCCAGUUUUGAAUAUUCAGUUUGUCGAUAAGAUAAUAUGGUUUGUGUAAAUUUUCCACUCUGGCGGGUGCUCUCCAGUUUAAAAAAUGUACUUUGUUAUCCUGUUAAAAAAAUGAUAUUGUUUAAUUCACAUGUUGUGUCUAACCGAUUUUGCAAAGAGAAGCUGAGUGUGUUAUUUUCUCAAGACUGCUAGGCUAACUGUCUCUCUCUUCUUCUUGUCUGUCUGUUUGCGUCUCAACGGACGUCGCCACGCUUUAAAAAAAACUGCCGGGACUUUUUAUUUGUCUGUAAUCGGACCAUGUGAGCGUUAUCGUGGUGUUGAGCGCUCCCGCAGCCCGUUGGCGUGGCGACUCCGAGGCGAGGAGAGCUGUAGUGACGGGGUUUUACUCCCCGGGUAAUAAUUAAAAAUCACCGGAGUUGACGGCGGCUCGGUCUCCAGCCUCAGAUCAAGGCUUCGAAUCUGAUCCCGGCUGAGACCCCAAAAUCCAGAGUCUGGCUAUAAAGUUGCCGCCUCCCCGGUUUAGAUCUUCCUCGCCCCCACCCCUCGUCCUGAAGGGGUGACGGGGAGCUCUUUUGGUUUCUUGGUUUCUGUUGUUUUUCUAAUGGACAAACGUCCUAACUGUAACCUGCAGAUUUUUCUAUUAGAUUCUAUUGACAGAUAGAGUUGUAUGAACCCGAGCCACGGGACUGUCGGUGGCCGAGGGAGAGGAAGAUGGAUGAUGAUGAUGAUGUUGAUGAUUAACAUGAGGGCUAAUAAACAGGCUCGUUCUUUCUGA